Felis catus (domestic cat) is the source of this 1326-nucleotide RNA transcript. RefSeq lists it as uncharacterized. The transcript is spliced from 3 exons. NCBI's taxonomy places the organism in Eukaryota, Metazoa, Chordata, Mammalia, Carnivora, Felidae. The record is from RefSeq and is a predicted model, not a curated record.
GGCUGAGGUCACGUGCGGGGGAGUUUUGUGCGUACGUAGACGCGUCCGUGUGCGGGUGAGUUGCGGGGUGGGGCAAGUUGAUGAAUCCGAAUCCCUGAGCUCGUGGGCCGGAUUUUGCAUUUGAAAAGAACCGUGGUAAUAAACCUGCUGCCGUCGGGCUUCCGGCGGCUUCCCGUUCGCAACUCUUCGCGGAGUGUGUGUGUCACGAGGGAUAUGUGGGAUGUCCAGAUCCCUGAACUCCAGAGGCCAGGCAAGCAUCUAGGCCUCUGGCAUGACCACUGGGGAAGUGCCCUGAGGAAGCACCUGCUUACUCUUGCCGCCAUAUGCCUCCAAACUCAGAGGAAUCUGUAACUCCAGUGCAUAGAAAUGGAGAGUUUAAUCCAUGGGGAACACUCUGGAAUGCUGAGGAAAAAAAAAAUAAGCAAGAGUCAGGAAACCAGCUCCUAUAAAACGAUCGUCUGGCUUUACGUGUGUCCUACCAUCUUGGAGGAGUCAAAGACCACAUCACUGGGGACUGGUACCCCUGGAGCUAUCCACACCUAGGCUGGCCCAGCCGGGCAGACCAAUGGACAGCUUCUGACACAGAGACACCCUCGGACACCAGAGCCUUGAAUCUUCCUUUGCACCCAAAAGGGCGCUGUAUUCCACAAACCAGAUUACAACGAUGCCUUCGACUUCCCCACUUGGCCAUGUAAUGUGAUGGUUGGGAAUGUCGAGUCCACAUCAAGAAGGGCCCUGGAUUCAAGCCCUGCUUCUGCUCAUUCUUAGUCGUAAGACAUUCUUUCCAAACUUCAGUUUCUUCAUUUGUAAAAUGGGGGUUAAUGACACAUAUCUCUAAGUAUUUGUUGAACGGAUUAAAUAACAUCAUUUAUGAAAAUGAUUAGCAAACACGAUGUCUGGCACACCUCAGAAGUGAUUGUUUUGGUUAUCUAUCUAUAACUAGCUCCAAAAAUUUGAGCUUUGAAACAAUAACCACUUUAUUAUGUCUUCAUGGUUCUGUGGGUUGACUGGGAGACUGUCGGCCAGCUGGGCAGAUCUUCUGUCAGCAAGAACUGCAGCCAUCUAGAGGUCGUCUGUCUAGUGCCCAGCUUUUGUCCCCAAAGCUCAGAAGCACAGUUGCCAAGCCUUCAUAAGGCUUAGGCUCAGAAUUGGGGUAUUUUCUUCUCUGCCACAUCCUAUUUAUUAAUAUGACUCACAGAGCCAGUCCAGAUGCAUUGUGGGAGGACAGACUAUGCAAGGCCAUGAAUACUGGAGGCAUGGUUCACUGGCAGGUGUCUUUGGAAACCAACGGCUACAUUGAUCAAUAAAUGAUUUUUACAAUCAGAA